Molecule: ribosomal RNA, 484 nt
Filed under: uncultured bacterium
Lineage: Bacteria
Description: partial 16S ribosomal RNA
Rfam family: Bacterial small subunit ribosomal RNA
Source: RNAcentral
AUUGAACGCUGGCGGCAGGCCUAACACAUGCAAGUCGAGCGGAUGAAGGGAGCUUGCUCCUGGAUUCAGCGGCGGACGGGUGAGUAAUGCCUAGGAAUCUGCCUGGUAGUGGGGGAUAACGUCCGGAAACGGGCGCUAAUACCGCAUACGUCCUGAGGGAGAAAGUGGGGGAUCUUCGGACCUCACGCUAUCAGAUGAGCCUAGGUCGGAUUAGCUAGUUGGUGGGGUAAAGGCCUACCAAGGCGACGAUCCGUAACUGGUCUGAGAGGAUGAUCAGUCAAAGGGGAACGGAACACCGGUCCAGACUCCUACGGGAGGAAGCAGUGGGGAAUAUUGGACAAUGGGCGAAAGCCUGACCCAGCCAUGCCGCGUGUGUGAAGAAGGUCUUCGGAUUGUAAAGCACUUUAAGUUGGGAGGAAGGAAAGUAAGUUAAUACCUUGCUGUUUUGACGUUACCAAAAAAAAAAGCACCGGCUAACUUCGUG